CAUUUUUGAGAAACUUAACGUAAAUACUAUUAGUAUUACAGGAUUUAAAUUAAUCCUCAAAACCU
This 65-nucleotide transfer RNA is filed under the name Bettongia penicillata (woylie). Its description in RNAcentral is "tRNA-Lys". Lineage: Eukaryota; Metazoa; Chordata; Mammalia; Diprotodontia; Potoroidae. The record is from RNAcentral.